Long non-coding RNA from Helianthus annuus (common sunflower), 1092 nucleotides. RefSeq lists it as uncharacterized. The transcript is spliced from 3 exons. Lineage: Eukaryota; Viridiplantae; Streptophyta; Magnoliopsida; Asterales; Asteraceae. The record is from RefSeq and is a predicted model, not a curated record.
CACACCGAACAAUACACCAACAUAUGCAACUUCUUCUCUGCAGAACCUUUAUCUUGCUUCUUCUUGCUUCAAGGUACACCUUUGGGUUUUCGUCAAGUUCGGCAGCGUGUGACAUGAUAUAAUUAUCUCAAAAACCAAAGCUAGAUUCAGAGGUCGCAUGGGGUAGCCAAGGAUGUUAAUUUUGUGAAACAUAAUCUUUUAUUAGAUCGGUUAUAAAACCAAAAUAUAUGAUAUCUUAUGAUAGGUGGUUAUGGGGUUCUAUUAGUUGUAAUAAUCAACUUAUAUUAAUGUGUGUAGUGGUGAAUCCUGUGGUUACGACCCCUAAAAGUGUUAUGAAUACUUUUUGGGGCCUAAAACACAAUGGCAAACAUCUACACAUGAUUAUUAAAGAUAAACCAAAAGAAAAAAGACUUAACGACGCAUUAACAAAUGUUGUUAUUUACGGCAUUUGAUGUUAAAUCUAUGCAGCCUGUGAUCUUCUCGAGUUACGAGGUGAAGAAAAACCCUGAUCUUCAUGCAAAGUUUUCUGAUAUAUGCAUUUGUACGUCGGCAGCCCCAGUAUAUCUCCCUGCCCAUAAAUUCCAAACUAAAGAUUCAGAAGGAAAUAUACUUAGGGAAUUCAAUCUUAUCGAUGGUACAGUGAUUGUAUAAUUGGUCUAGAACAUGUAAUUGAAAGAAAUAACAAACCUGGAACCCGAAUUGAAAUUGCAAGUUUUGUGAUUGGAACAUGGAUUAAUCUCUGAAUCGUAUGAGAACUAUCAGAUAAACCUAUUUGCGGGUUACACGCAAUGAUUUAUCGGAUUAGACAGAGAUCACUCUUGUUGGAAUUGAAAUUGGUUGAAUCUGUGAAUGAGAAUUGUGAAGAGCACACCAACACUAACCUGAAUCCAACAUCUGAUAUGCUCCAAGUACUGCCCUUAUCAACAACUGCUGAUCCUGUAAACUACUGUUAAGCCAAAGCACUGAUGAAGUUUAAAGGUUGAAGUUCAAUCUCCUAACGGAAUCCAAGUACUGCUGAAGAGUUAAAGCACUGCCCAUUCAAGGCCUGAUCACCCUUUGAAGAAAGCACUGUUGCUCAAACAACAGUGGUUG